This 515-nucleotide ribosomal RNA is filed under the name uncultured bacterium. Its description in RNAcentral is "partial 16S ribosomal RNA". It matches the Rfam family "Bacterial small subunit ribosomal RNA", at positions 28 to 523 of the family's 1533-position model. The record is from RNAcentral.
GAUGAACGCUGGCGGCGUGCCUAAUACAUGCAAGUCGAGCGAAUGGAUUAAGAGCUUGCUCUUAUGAAGUUAGCGGCGGACGGGUGAGUAACACGUGGGUAACCUGCCCAUAAGACUGGGAUAACUCCGGGAAACCGGGGCUAAUACCGGAUAAUAUUUUGAACUGCAUGGUUCAAAAUUGAAAGGCGGCUUCGGCUGUCACUUAUGGAUGGACCCGCGUCGCAUUAGCUAGUUGGUGAGGUAACGGCUCACCAAGGCAACGAUGCGUAGCCGACCUGAGAGGGUGAUCGGCCACACGGGGACUGAGACACGGCCCAGACUCCGACGGGAGGCAGCAGUAGGGAAUCUUCCGCAAUGGACGAAAGUCUGACGGAGCAACGCCGCGUGAGUGAUGAAGGCUUUCGGGUCGUAAAACUCUGUUGUUAGGGAAGAACAAGUGCUAGUUGAAUAAGCUGGCACCUUGACGGUACCUAACCAGAAAGCCACGGCUAACUACGUGCCAGCAGCCGCAGUAA